GUGCCAGCCGCCGCGGUAAUACCGACAGCUCAAGUGAUGGCCGCUAUUAUUGGGCCUAAAGCGUCCGUAGCCGGCCGAACAGGUCCGUCGGGAAAUCUGCUCGCUCAACGAGCAGGCGUCCGGCGGAAACCAGUCGGCUUGGGGCCGGAAGACCCGAGGGGUACGUUCGGGGUAGGAGUGAAAUCCCGUAAUCCCGAACGGACCGCCGGUGGCGAAAGCGCCUCGGGAAGACGGACCCGACGGUGAGGGACGAAAGCUAGGGUCACGAACCGGAUUAGAAACCCCGGUAGUCC
Molecule: ribosomal RNA, 293 nt
Filed under: uncultured bacterium
Lineage: Bacteria
Description: partial 16S ribosomal RNA
Rfam family: Archaeal small subunit ribosomal RNA
Source: RNAcentral